This 303-nucleotide small RNA is filed under the name Pongo abelii (Sumatran orangutan). Its description in RNAcentral is "processed transcript". Lineage: Eukaryota; Metazoa; Chordata; Mammalia; Primates; Hominidae. The record is from RNAcentral.
UUUCCGUGCGGUGCGGCGAGUGAGGCCCCGUCCUCCUCCUCGUCUUGCCGCAGGGCCAGAACCCCUGACGGUAUUCAGCGGCGCUUAAGUCUGGCCGGUGUCAUCUGUCUCCGCAAUGCCCCCCAAGAAACAGGCUCAGGCCGGGGGCAGCAAAAAGGCGGAGCAAAAAAAGAAGGAGAAGAUUAUCGAAAUAUUUCUGUGCUCUUUCUCAUGUAGGACAAAACUUUUGGUUUGAAGAAUAAGAAAGGAGCAAAGCAACAGAAGUUUAUCAAGGCUGUCACACAUCAAGUUAAAUUUGGUCAA